RNAcentral lists this long non-coding RNA (1341 nucleotides) under Camponotus floridanus (Florida carpenter ant). RNAcentral describes it as "uncharacterized LOC105255523, transcript variant X2". The record is from RNAcentral. Lineage: Eukaryota; Metazoa; Arthropoda; Insecta; Hymenoptera; Formicidae.
CAUUUUUAAUCCAUCUCCCCAUAUAAUCUCACUAACCUAUCUACUAUAAUCUCAGCUUAGCGACGAGGCGAGUGACACGAGAAACAAGGAGGGGGAAUGGAUUAAAAAUGGCGGAGUAUAGAAUACCUGUAUAUUUAGUGCUCUAGUUUCUGUAAGGCACUAAAUAUAUGAGUAUUCUAUACUCCGCCAUUUUUAAUCCAUCUCCCCACCCCAUAUAAUCUCACUAACCUAUCUACUAUAAUCUCAGCUUAGCGACGAGGCGAGUGACACGAGAAACAAGGAGGGGGAAUGGAUUAAAAAUGGCGGAGUAUAGAAUACCUGUAUAUUUAGUGCUCUAGUUUCUGUAGAGAAGCAGUGUCCGGAGGAGGUUAGAGAGAGAAACAUACUUUUUAGUACUUCUCUUUCUACAAGUGUCCGGAAGUAUGCAUUGCACUUGUAGAAAGAGAAGUACCAAAAAGUAUGUUUCUCUCUCUAACCUCCUCCGGACACAGUCUGAUACGUAUUGCCAGUCCAUACUUAUAAGGUCUAUGGAGGGCACCCAUUGUUGACACUGCUUUGGAAGUGACUUCCGACUACGGGAAAACACUUUAUAAUGUGCAAUUAUAAGAAAAUUGUGUAAUUAAAUAACAUUAUAUAAUAAUAAAAAUGAAAAUGUGUUGUGUAUAUCGUUGUAAAACGUCUUCUUCAAAUUCUAAUGAAUCGUUUUUUAGUUUUCCAAAAAGAGAAGAUAUCUUUAAAGAAUAGAAGAAAAUAGUACCGACAAAAAACUAUAUCACAAAGCAUUCUCGUAUUUGUAGUAAACAUUUUCAGAACUCUUGUUAUGAGCACAUUGGAAAAAAACGAGUAUUGAAAUAUGAUGCAAUAUACCUACAAUAUUUAAUUAUGAUUUAGAAAAUAUAAAAGAUGUUGCAAUGACAUUUCAGACUUCAAAAAUAGAAAAAGAGUUAAAAACAGUUGCAAAAACAGAUGUAGCCACUGAAAUAUCUCCACAUUUAGUAAGACCAACUGAAGAAGAAAAUAAAUUAAGAAACAAAAUAAAGAAUCUUCAAGCUUGCUUACGUCGUAAGGAAAAGAAACUUUCAAGAGUUACUGAAUUAUUAAAACAUUUAAAAGAAAAAGAACACUCGUGCCGGCUGCCAGCAUGUCAUGUGCUCUUACACGAUCUCGCAUAAUAAGUAAGUUACAGUGUUUUUGCGAGUUAUAGUGCUGCACGAAAGAAGAGGAAAGUGUUUUUUUCCAGUGUGUUAUAAUAUAUUGUAAGUUAUUUUUAGAGAUAUGUCUAAAUAUUCUCAGAUUUUUCAGUGAAAGUUCUAAAAGUCUUAAAUUAAUGUUAGAAUUAAU